RNAcentral lists this ribosomal RNA (493 nucleotides) under uncultured bacterium. Its description in RNAcentral is "partial 16S ribosomal RNA". It matches the Rfam family "Bacterial small subunit ribosomal RNA", at positions 27 to 507 of the family's 1533-position model. The record is from RNAcentral.
GAGUGAACGCUGGCGGUAGGCCUAACACAUGCAAGUCGAACGGCAGCACAGUAAGAGCUUGCUCUUACGGGUGGCGAGUGGCGGACGGGUGAGGAAUACAUCGGAAUCUACUUUUUCGUGGGGGAUAACGUAGGGAAACUUACGCUAAUACCGCAUACGACCUACGGGUGAAAGCAGGGGAUCUUCGGACCUUGCGCGAUUGAAUGAGCAGAUGUCGGAUUAGCUAGUUGGCGGGGUAAAGGCCCACCAAGGCGACGAUCCGUAGCUGGUCUGAGAGGAUGAUCCGCCACACUGGAACUGAGACACGGUCCAGACUCCUACGGGAGGCAGCAGUGGGGAAUAUUGGACAAAGGGCGCAAGCCUGAUCCAGCCAUACCGCGUGGGUGAAGAAGGCCUUCGGGUUGUAAAGCCCUUUUGUUGGGAAAGAAAAGCGGCAGGUUAAUACCCCGCUGUUCUGACGGUACCCAAAGAAUAAGCACCGGCUAACUUCGUG